This 446-nucleotide ribosomal RNA is filed under the name uncultured organism. RNAcentral's name for it is "partial 16S ribosomal RNA". It matches the Rfam family "Bacterial small subunit ribosomal RNA", at positions 335 to 797 of the family's 1533-position model. The record is from RNAcentral.
ACUCCUGCGGGAGGCAGCAGUGGGGAAUAUUGGACAAUGGGCGCAAGCCUGAUCCAGCCAUGCCGCGUGAGUGAUGAAGGCCCUAGGGUUGUAAAGCUCUUUCACCGGUGAAGAUAAUGACGGUAACCGGAGAAGAAGCCCCGGCUAACUUCGUGCCAGCAGCCGCGGUAAUACGAAGGGGGCUAGCGUUGUUCGGAUUUACUGGGCGUAAAGCGCACGUAGGCGGACUAUUAAGUCAGGGGUGAAAUCCCGGGGCUCAACCCCGGAACUGCCUUUGAUACUGGUAGUCUUGAGUUCGAGAGAGGUGAGUGGAAUUCCGAGUGUAGAGGUGAAAUUCGUAGAUAUUCGGAGGAACACCAGUGGCGAAGGCGGCUCACUGGCUCGAUACUGACGCUGAGGUGCGAAAGCGUGGGGAGCAAACAGGAUUAGAAACCCCUGUAGUCCCA